GCCAUACUGCCUAAUGGUUAGAGAGUUGGACUUGUAACCCGAAAGUCGGGGGUUCGAGUCUCAGGUCUGGCA
This is a non-coding RNA of Pangasius djambal, 72 nucleotides long. The record is from the annotation of a GenBank genome assembly. Lineage: Eukaryota; Metazoa; Chordata; Actinopteri; Siluriformes; Pangasiidae.